GAAAGGAUCCUAAAAUAUUUUAUUUCAGGAUUUCUUAAUUAUAUGAUUUAUAUUGCUUUCUUGUCUUCUAUUAAUCAUUUGGUAUCAGCAAUGCCAAAUCACUCUUUACUGUUUUAGCUACAUGAAAUGAUGCCUAUAACAGAUAUAAAGAUCUAGUGCCUUAAGGAUUAUAAUUCUACUGUCUUAUGAUAUGUUGUCUUGAUUGUUAUCAUUUAAAGACAUAGAUAAUAGAAAAAAUCAUAGAGUCUAUAAGAGAAAGCUUGUAAAAAUAUACUAAAAAAUAUACUGGUUUUUAAAAAAAUUGUCACAAACAGAAAUAUUUGGCAAUUCCAUGUAACAUGAGAGACAUGGAAAAGGAGAAAAAACCCACUAUGUCCUGGGCUCUGCAGAUUGUUUUAUAGUCAGGUUUCUCCACCACCUGGAUCCCCAGCUCAGACUGACUCAGUAUGGAGUCUCAUCUGUGAACAGAUUGGCCUUUAAAACUCAAAAUAAGUCAUAUGUUCCAGCUAAAUGCAUCAAAGCUUUGAGAUCCUGGACGUCUCUGCAGCCCAAUGAUGUGGGUUCUUUUUCCUUUCAUUAAAAAAUUGUUUUUACCAGAGCAACUUCUCUGAUCAAAAUGACUUCGUUGUGUGUAUGCUGAUGAAUACAGAGGAGAUAUAAACACUAUAACUGUUUCCUCACUAUCUAAGAUUCUGCAGAGAUGUUUGUGAUGAUGUUUCAAGUAUAUAAUAUUCUAAUUGCAUUUAAACAAGUAUUUUGUAUUUGGGUUCAGGGGAAGGAAGAGAGCAUUUUACCAUGGGGCUGUCGUAGAGGGUUUAUGGAAUAUAGACAGGACUCUGAAAACACAACUCCCAACAGUUUUCCUAGUUAAUAAAAAUCCUAUUAAU
Molecule: long non-coding RNA, 887 nt
Filed under: Bos taurus (domestic cattle)
Lineage: Eukaryota; Metazoa; Chordata; Mammalia; Artiodactyla; Bovidae
Description: long non-coding RNA NONBTAT000814
Source: RNAcentral